UGCCGAUUAGGUUAGUGGUAGACCACCAGACUCUGAAUCUGGGUGCCCAGGUUCGAAUCCUGGAUCGGCAGCCA
This 74-nucleotide transfer RNA is filed under the name Chloroflexota bacterium. Its description in RNAcentral is "tRNA-Gln". It matches the Rfam family "tRNA". Rfam says of the family: Transfer RNA (tRNA) molecules are approximately 80 nucleotides in length. Their secondary structure includes four short double-helical elements and three loops (D, anti-codon, and T loops). RNAcentral also lists the same sequence under 2 other names. The record is from RNAcentral. Lineage: Bacteria; Bacillati; Chloroflexota.